AUGGCAGCUGCCGGUGAUCGGCAGCAUGCACCACCUCGUGGGCGCGCUCCCGCACCGCGCCAUGCGCAACCUCGCCCUCCGGCACGGCCCGCUCAUGCUGCUCCGCAUGGGCGAGCUCCCCGUCGUUGUGGCCUCGUCGGCGGCCGCGGCGAUGGAGAUCAUGAAGACCCACGACGUCGCCUUCGCCACGCGGCCGAGGACGAACACCACUGUUUCGCUCACUGGAGACGGCCUCGGCAUCGCCCUCGCGCCGCACGGCGACCACUGGCGCCGUGUCCGCAAGCUCUGCGCCACGGAGCUUCUCGGCGCGCCGCGGGUUCGGUCGUUCCGAGGGACGCGUGA
Molecule: ribosomal RNA, 342 nt
Filed under: Triticum aestivum (bread wheat)
Lineage: Eukaryota; Viridiplantae; Streptophyta; Magnoliopsida; Poales; Poaceae
Description: partial small subunit ribosomal RNA
Source: RNAcentral